UAAGACCUCGCGCGAUUGGAGCGGCCGAUGUCGGAUUAGCUAGUUGGUGAGGUAAAGGCUCACCAAGGCGACGAUCCGUAGCGGGUCUGAGAGGAUGAUCCGCCACACUGGGACUGAGACACGGCCCAGACUCCUACGGGAGGCAGCAGUGGGGAAUUUUGGACAAUGGGCGAAAGCCUGAUCCAGCCAUGCCGCGUGAGUGAAGAAGGCCUUCGGGUUGUAAAGCUCUUUCGGCCGGGAAGAAAUCGCACUCUCUAAUAUAGGGUGUGGAUGACGGUACCGGACUAAGAAGCACCGGCUAACUACGUGCCAGCAGCCGCGGUAAUACGUAGGGUGCGAGCGUUAAUCGGAAUUACUGGGCGUAAAGCGUGCGCAGGCGGUUUUGUAAGACAGAUGUGAAAUCCCCGGGCUUAACCUGGGAACU
This 424-nucleotide ribosomal RNA is filed under the name uncultured bacterium. RNAcentral's name for it is "bacterial SSU rRNA". It matches the Rfam family "Bacterial small subunit ribosomal RNA", at positions 202 to 622 of the family's 1533-position model. The record is from RNAcentral.